AAGUCGUAACAAGGUCUCCGUAGGUGAACCUGCGGAGGGAUCAUUAACACGUUUUCUAACGUUUAUUAUACCAACCAACCGCGUGAAUUCAACUGAAUCAAUUAUACCCGACUUGAAAGAGAGAGAAACUGUCUAUUUACACGGAGUGAUGAGUGUGUUUGAAUUUUUACAUGUGAAAGCAUGUAUUUUGAAACAUACGGUGUAUCUAGGCUUGUAAUGCUUCGACAUUACGGGAUUAUUUCUCUUUCAAGCUAUCAACAAAUCCAAUGUUCCCUUCAUCUCUGGAACGAAAACACCCCU
This 300-nucleotide unclassified non-coding RNA is filed under the name fungal sp. RNAcentral's name for it is "partial contains small subunit ribosomal RNA and internal transcribed spacer 1". The stretch from base 1 to 46 matches the Rfam family "Eukaryotic small subunit ribosomal RNA", at positions 1786 to 1831 of the family's 1831-position model. Lineage: Eukaryota; Fungi. The record is from RNAcentral.